This 30-nucleotide non-coding RNA is filed under the name Mus musculus (house mouse). The record is from RNAcentral. RNAcentral also lists the same sequence under 1 other name. Lineage: Eukaryota; Metazoa; Chordata; Mammalia; Rodentia; Muridae.
UUGUCAGAUGGCUUCUGUAGCUUCUCCAUG